Molecule: ribosomal RNA, 380 nt
Filed under: uncultured eukaryote
Lineage: Eukaryota
Description: partial 18S ribosomal RNA
Rfam family: Eukaryotic small subunit ribosomal RNA
Source: RNAcentral
CAAUAGCGUAUAUUAAAGUUGUUGCGGUUAAAAAGCUCGUAGUUGGAUUUCUGCCGAGGACGACCGGUCCGCCCUCUGGGUGAGUAUCUGGCUCGGCCUGGGCAUCUUCUUGGAGAACGUAGCUGCACUUGACUGUGUGGUGCGGUAUCCAGGACUUUUACUUUGAGGAAAUUAGAGUGUUUCAAGCAGGCUUACGCCUUGAAUACAUUAGCAUGGAAUAAUAAGAUAGGACCUCGGUUCUAUUUUGUUGGUUUCUAGAGCUGAGGUAAUGAUUAAUAGGGAUAGUUGGGGGCAUUCGUAUUUAACUGUCAGAGGUGAAAUUCUUGGGUUUGUUAAAGACGGACUACUGCGAAAGCAUUUGCCAAGGAUGUUUUCAUUGA